AAUGAUCCCUCCUCCCGCUUUUUUGAUUGCUUAAUUUCACCGGGUUUCCCUCCUGGUUUCGGAGGUCCAAAGUUGAAAAAAAAGGCCUGGUGAAUCUAGACCUGGGGGUGGAAGAAAGCGCUACUUGGGGGCGCUUCGCCACCACAAGGACCAACCCAUAAACCUUUUUGCAAUGGCAAUCAGCGUCAGUAACAAUGUAAUAAUUUACAACUUUCAACAACGGAUCUCUUGGUUCUGGCAUCGAUGAAGAACGCAGCGAAAUGCGAUAAGUAGUGUGAAUUGCAGAAUUCAGUGAAUCAUCGAAUCUUUGAACGCACAUUGCGCCCUUUGGUAUUCCAAAGGGCAUGCCUGUUCGAGCGUCAUUUGUACCCUCAAGCUUUGCUUGGUGUUGGGCGUCUUUUUGUCUCCCCUUGCGGGAGACUCGCCUUAAAGUCAUUGGCAGCCGGCCUACUGGUUUCGGAGCGCAGCACAAGUCGCGCUCUCUUCCAGCCCCAAGGUCUAGCGAUCCACCAAGCCUUUUUUUUCAACUUUGACGUCGGAUCAGGUAGGGAUACCCGCCGAACUAG
This 566-nucleotide ribosomal RNA is filed under the name Alternaria solani. Its description in RNAcentral is "eukaryotic LSU rRNA". The stretch from base 209 to 362 matches the Rfam family "5.8S ribosomal RNA". The record is from RNAcentral. Lineage: Eukaryota; Fungi; Ascomycota; Dothideomycetes; Pleosporales; Pleosporaceae.